Molecule: ribosomal RNA, 996 nt
Filed under: Staphylococcus aureus
Lineage: Bacteria; Bacillati; Bacillota; Bacilli; Caryophanales; Staphylococcaceae
Description: partial 23S ribosomal RNA
Rfam family: Bacterial large subunit ribosomal RNA
Source: RNAcentral
AGGACACUCUAUACGGAGUUACAAAGGACGACAUUAGACGAAUCAUCUGGAAAGAUGAAUCAAAGAAGGUAAUAAUCCUGUAGUCGAAAAUGUUGUCUCUCUUGAGUGGAUCCUGAGUACGACGGAGCACGUGAAAUUCCGUCGGAAUCUGGGAGGACCAUCUCCUAAGGCUAAAUACUCUCUAGUGACCGAUAGUGAACCAGUACCGUGAGGGAAAGGUGAAAAGCACCCCGGAAGGGGAGUGAAAUAGAACCUGAAACCGUGUGCUUACAAGUAGUCAGAGCCCGUUAAUGGGUGAUGGCGUGCCUUUUGUAGAAUGAACCGGCGAGUUACGAUUUGAUGCAAGGUUAAGCAGUAAAUGUGGAGCCGUAGCGAAAGCGAGUCUGAAUAGGGCGUUUAGUAUUUGGUCGUAGACCCGAAACCAGGUGAUCUACCCUUGGUCAGGUUGAAGUUCAGGUAACACUGAAUGGAGGACCGAACCGACUUACGUUGAAAAGUGAGCGGAUGAACUGAGGGUAGCGGAGAAAUUCCAAUCGAACCUGGAGAUAGCUGGUUCUCUCCGAAAUAGCUUUAGGGCUAGCCUCAAGUGAUGAUUAUUGGAGGUAGAGCACUGUUUGGACGAGGGGCCCCUCUCGGGUUACCGAAUUCAGACAAACUCCGAAUGCCAAUUAAUUUAACUUGGGAGUCAGAACAUGGGUGAUAAGGUCCGUGUUCGAAAGGGAAACAGCCCAGACCACCAGCUAAGGUCCCAAAAUAUAUGUUAAGUGGAAAAGGAUGUGGCGUUGCCCAGACAACUAGGAUGUUGGCUUAGAAGCAGCCAUCAUUUAAAGAGUGCGUAAUAGCUCACUAGUCGAGUGACACUGCGCCGAAAAUGUACCGGGGCUAAACAUAUUACCGAAGCUGUGGAUUGUCCUUUGGACAAUGGUAGGAGAGCGUUCUAAGGGCGUUGAAGCAUGAUCGUAAGGACAUGUGGAGCGCUUAGAAGUGAGAAUGCCG